CUACAAGGGUAUCUAAUCCUGUUUGCUACCCACGCUUUCGUACCUCAGCGUCAGAAAAUGGCCAGAAAGUCGCCUUCGCCACCGGUAUUCCUCCUAAUAUCUGCGCAUUCCACCGCUACACUAGGAAUUCCACUUUCCCUUCCAUCUCUCAAGGUCCCCAGUUUUAGAAGCUUACUAUAGUUGAGCUAUAGCCUUUGACUUCUAACUUAAAAACCCGCCUACGUACCCUUUACGCCCAAUGAUUCCGGACAACGCUCGGUCCUUACGUAUUACCGCGGCUGCUGGCAC
RNAcentral lists this ribosomal RNA (288 nucleotides) under uncultured Anaerococcus sp. RNAcentral's name for it is "partial 16S ribosomal RNA". The record is from RNAcentral. Lineage: Bacteria; Bacillati; Bacillota; Tissierellia; Tissierellales; Peptoniphilaceae.